GUGCGCUUCAUCCCUCGGGAGAAUGGCGUUUACCUGAUUGACGUCAAGUUCAACGGCACCCACAUCCCUGGAAGCCCCUUCAAGAUCCGAGUUGGGGAGCCUGGGCAUGGAGGGGACCCAGGCUUGGUGUCUGCUUACGGAGCAGGUCUGGAAGGCGGUGUCACAGGGAACCCAGCUGAGUUCGUCGUGAACACGAGCAAUGCGGGAGCUGGUGCCCUGUCGGUGACCAUUGACGGCCCCUCCAAGGUGAAGAUGGAUUGCCAGGAGUGCCCUGAGGGCUACCGCGUCACCUAUACCCCCAUGGCACCUGGCAGCUACCUCAUCUCCAUCAAGUACGGCGGCCCCUACCACAUUGGGGGCAGCCCCUUCAAGGCCAAAGCCCCCGUCUCGUCAGCAACCACAGCCUCCACGAGACAUCAUCAGUGUUUGUAGACUCUCUGACCAAGGCCACCUGUGCCCCCCAGCAUGGGGCCCCGGGUCCUGGGCCUGCUGACGCCAGCAAGGUGGUGGCCAAGGGCCUGGGGCUGAGCAAGGCCUACGUAGGCCAGAAGAGCAGCUUCACAGUAGACUGCAGCAAAGCAACAACAUGCUGCUGGUGGGGGUUCAUGGCCCAAGGACCCCCUGCGAGGAGAUCCUGGUGAAGCACGUGGGCAGCCGGCUCUACAGCGUGUCCUACCUGCUCAAGGACAAGGGGGAGUACACACUGGUGGUCAAAUGGGGGGACGAGCACAUCCCAGGCAGCCCCUACCGCGUUGUGGUGCCCUGAGUCUGGGGCCCGUGCCAGCCGGCAGCCCCCAAGCCUGCCCCGCUACCCAAGCAGCCCCGCCCUCUUCCCCUCAACCCCGGCCCAGGCCGCCCUGGCCGCCCGCCUGUCACUGCAGCCGCCCCUGCCCUGUGCCGUGCUGCGCUCACCUGCCUCCCCAGCCAGCCGCUGACCUCUCGGCUUUCACUUGGGCAGAGGGAGCCAUUUGGUGGCGCUGCUUGUCUUCUUUGGUUCUGGGAGGGGUGAGGGAUGGGGGUCCUGUACACAACCACCCACUAGUUCUCUUCUCCAGCCAAGAGGAAUAAAGUUUUGCUUCC
RNAcentral lists this long non-coding RNA (1080 nucleotides) under Homo sapiens (human). Its description in RNAcentral is "long non-coding RNA NONHSAT223657.1". The record is from RNAcentral. Lineage: Eukaryota; Metazoa; Chordata; Mammalia; Primates; Hominidae.